This 212-nucleotide long non-coding RNA is filed under the name Bos taurus (domestic cattle). RNAcentral's name for it is "long non-coding RNA NONBTAT006871". Lineage: Eukaryota; Metazoa; Chordata; Mammalia; Artiodactyla; Bovidae. The record is from RNAcentral.
CCGUGGGUAGAAUGAACAGGGAAUGAAGAGUGGUGAUGCUGCUGCUGCUGAAGAUCAUGAGAUGGACAUAUUGAAGGUGAUGCUGAUGAAGAAGGUGGAAGAGGAGAAGGGGUCAAGCCUCAUGUGAAAGACUUUACAAACGUCCUCGCCACCAACUUUGGGGAGAAUAUGCUCAUCUCUCUGGCCCAGAAGAGGCUGCUUUUUAGCUAUGG